UGAGGAAUAUUGGGCAAUGCCCGCAAGGGUGACCCAGCAACGCCGCGUGGAGGAUGAAUGUCGUAAGAUUGUAAACUCCUGUUAGAGGGGAAGAAUAGUACCGGUUGGACCGGUAUAUGACUGUACCCUCAGAGAAAGCCCCGGCUAACUACGUGCCAGCAGCCGCGGUAAUACGUAGGGGGCAAGCGUUGUCCGGAUUUACUGGGUGUAAAGGGCGCGUAGGCGGCGCGGUAAGUCACUUGUGAAAUCUCUGAGCUUAACUCAGAACGGCCAAGUGAUACUGCUGUGCUAGAGUGCGGAAGAGGCUACCGGAAUUCUUGGUGUAGCGGUGAAAUGCGUAGAUAUCAAGAGGAACACCUGAGGCGAAGGCGGGUUGCUGGGCCGACACUGACGCUGAUGCGCGAAGGCCAGGGGAGCAAACG
Molecule: ribosomal RNA, 422 nt
Filed under: uncultured bacterium
Lineage: Bacteria
Description: bacterial SSU rRNA
Rfam family: Bacterial small subunit ribosomal RNA
Source: RNAcentral